UACGACUACAUAUCAGGCAUAUCAAUAAGCGGAGGAAAAGAAACUAACAAGGAUUCCCUUAGUAACGGCGAGUGAAGCGGGAAGAGCUCAAAUUUGAAAUCUUCAAGGUUCUACCUUGACGAAUUGUAGUUUAUAGAAGUGUUUUCUGUUAGUGGAGUGGCAAAAGUUCUUUGGAAUAGGACAUCAUAGAGGGUGAGAAUCCCGUAUUUGGUCAUUCCUCCUAGCGUUGUGAUACACUUUCAACGAGUCGGAUUGUUUGGGAAUGCAGUCCAAAAUGGGUGGUAAAUUUCAUCUAAAGCUAAAUAUUGGCGAGAGACCGAUAGCGAACAAGUACCGUGAGGGAAAGAUGAAAAGAACUUUGAAAAGAGAGUUAAACAGUACGUGAAAUUGUCAAAAGGGAAGCGUUUGACACCAGUGUUGUUUUUCCGAAAAUCAAUUACGAAUGUUUUGUUUUUGAGGAGUUAUGACUUCAUCGGCUUGCUCCUUUCUUUAUGAAACUUUCUUAAUGCACUUUUCGGUUAACAAGUCAACAUCAAUUUCUUUUGUUGUAAAAGGGUAUGAGGAAGGUGGCUUUCUUUUCGGAGAAAGUGUUUAUAGCCUUGUGCCUCUGCAAUCGGAGAGAUUGAGGUCUGCAGCGUAGAUCCUUCGGGGUUAGAUACGUUAGAUGCUAAGUUAUAGCUUUUUCAUAGGACAACUUGUUGACUAUGAUUUAAGUCAUUGUAGCUUACUCGCUUGACGCUAUUUUACCUACGCUUAGGAUGUUGAUCUCUCACAGUCGAGC
Molecule: ribosomal RNA, 781 nt
Filed under: uncultured Neocallimastigales
Lineage: Eukaryota; Fungi; Neocallimastigomycota; Neocallimastigomycetes; Neocallimastigales
Description: partial large subunit ribosomal RNA
Rfam family: Eukaryotic large subunit ribosomal RNA
Source: RNAcentral